GUGUCAGCAGCCGCGGUAAUACGUAGGUGGCAAGCGUUAUCCGGAAUUAUUGGGCGUAAAGCGCGCGCAGGUGGUUUCUUAAGUCUGAUGUGAAAGCCCACGGCUCAACCGUGGGGGGUCAUUGGAAACUGGGAGACUUGAGUGCAGAAGAGGAAAGUGGAAUUCCAUGUGUAGCGGUGAAAUGCGUAGAGAUAUGGAGGAACACCAGUGGCGAAGGCGACUUUCUGGUCUGUAACUGACACUGAGGCGCGAAAGCGUGGGGAGCAAACAGGAUUAGAAACCCGAGUAGUCC
This 292-nucleotide ribosomal RNA is filed under the name uncultured Bacillus sp. RNAcentral's name for it is "partial 16S ribosomal RNA". It matches the Rfam family "Bacterial small subunit ribosomal RNA", at positions 505 to 796 of the family's 1533-position model. The record is from RNAcentral. Lineage: Bacteria; Bacillati; Bacillota; Bacilli; Caryophanales; Bacillaceae.